Long non-coding RNA from Mytilus trossulus (common blue mussel), 1126 nucleotides. RefSeq lists it as uncharacterized. NCBI's taxonomy places the organism in Eukaryota, Metazoa, Mollusca, Bivalvia, Mytilida, Mytilidae. The transcript is spliced from 3 exons. The record is from RefSeq and is a predicted model, not a curated record.
UCAAAUCAGAAGCAUACAUCUUGGACAAAUUUUUGUAAACAGGUAUUCAAAUAACUGUUAAUAAACAUGCAAAACACCGCUAUCAAAACAACCAACUGCACAUUUAGUCUUCCUAUUAUAACGGCGAUCUUGUAUGUAGUUCAGGAAUACUCUCAUUAGAUUUGACGCAAAAGUUGCGGCAACUUUUCCAGACAGGGAUAGUCGAAUGACUGUAAGAAAGAAAGCUUAACACCAAGAUCAAGAUAAACAGUCGUAAACGCAUUCACACACAUAUAUCUGCAUUUGAGCUUACUGAUUAUUUUUGUGAAGAAAAACAAAUUACGAACUUAAUCAAAAGUAAUUGAUACAAAGUGAAACUUAUAUAUUACGUUGUUGUAUUAGUGAGAAUACAAGGUGUUUAUCACAAAUGUUAAUUCACCUGAUUGGGUGGAGCUUACGUUUUGAUUAACAUAAGGACAGUCUAUUUGAAGAUGUGUGUGAUAAAGAGGAUUGCCACUUCAAUUAUUAUUGAUUUCUAAUCACCUAUCAUGUCACCAAACGAAUUUACAAACAAAAUGAGUGUAUGAUGUGGACAGUUCACUGAUGAGUGUAUAAAACACCUAUAUAUAGAUGAACUAGUCUAUUAUGAGCAAACCGAUAAAACUCUGCCCAGUCAAGUAAAAGAAAUCAAGCAGUACUUGCUGCCAUUGCAAGUUUUGCUAUUGCGGCAGUAUAUUAGUGAUAUAGCAAGGUGUAUACUUCCUGGUGUUGCAAGUUGUACUAUUGGGAAAUAUGAAUACUUCAUCGAUGUGUAUUAGUCAGAAUAUACGAUGUAUACUUGCUGGUGUUGCAAGUCGUUAUAUUGUGGAAGUUUAUAAGUGAAAGUCAACUGUGUUUAAUUUUACCAGUUUGGAAUAUAUUCAUUUGGUUCAGAUUCAAAGUGAUAAACAGUGUAAAGUAAAAUCACAAAACUACUGAGCUCCGAGGAAAAUUCAAAACGGAAAGUCCCUAAUUAAAUGACAAAAAAAACCCACAUCAAACGAAUGGACAACAACAACUUAACAAACAGACAUUACAGGUAAAAACUCUAAUUCGAAAGGUCACAUUCUCGAAAAGAGAACGGGAUUGUAGUUACGACAUACAUGUU